GACGAACGCUGGCGGCGUGCUUAACACAUGCAAGUCGAGCGGUAAGGCCCUUUCGGGGGUACACGAGCGGCGAACGGGUGAGUAACACGUGGGUGACCUGCCCUCAGCUCUGGGAUAAGCCCGGGAAACUGGGUCUAAUACCGGAUAUGACUUCAUGACGCAUGUUGUGGAGUGGAAAGCCUUGUGCGGCUGAGGAUGGGCCCGCGGCCUAUCAGCUUGUUGGUGGGGUGANGGCCUACCAAGGCGACGACGGGUAGCCGGCCUGAGAGGGCGACCGGCCACACUGGGACUGAGACACGGCCCAGACUCCUACGGGAGGCAGCAGUGGGGAAUAUUGCACAAUGGGCGAAAGCCUGAUGCAGCGACGCCGCGUGAGGGAUGACGGCCUUGG
This 391-nucleotide ribosomal RNA is filed under the name uncultured bacterium. Its description in RNAcentral is "bacterial SSU rRNA". It matches the Rfam family "Bacterial small subunit ribosomal RNA", at positions 28 to 420 of the family's 1533-position model. The record is from RNAcentral.